This 284-nucleotide long non-coding RNA is filed under the name Sorghum bicolor (sorghum). RNAcentral's name for it is "long non-coding RNA (SBIC_LNC009200)". Lineage: Eukaryota; Viridiplantae; Streptophyta; Magnoliopsida; Poales; Poaceae. The record is from RNAcentral.
UCCCAAUCCUAGCCAAAACCACUUGUAGAUAGCAUGUCAUUGACAAUAUUACUCUUGCACUGAUCACGAACACAAUGUUGCUCUUUGUGAUGUUUACACCACAUUUCUCUCAAACAUUGUUAAUUGUAGUUGUGUAGACAUGUGAUUUCCAUCCAUUUUGAUAUCUAUCCCGUUCAUUGUACUACUCCAUAAGAGUGUCCAGCAAUACUUUAUCCAUGUCGUCAUCCCAUGGAACGUAACCCCUUGAUGAUCUUGACGAUUUCUUACCCUUUUCCACAUCCCGG